UACGAAGGGGGCUAGCGUUGCUCGGAAUCACUGGGCGUAAAGCGCACGUAGGCGGAUUCUUAAGUCAGGGGUGAAAUCCUGGAGCUCAACUCCAGAACUGCCUUUGAUACUGGGAAUCUUCGAGUCCGGGAGAGGUGAGUGGAACUGCGAGUGUAGAGGUGAAAUUCGUAGAUAUUCGCAAGAACACCAGUGGCGAAGGCGGCUCACUGGCCCGGUACUGACGCUGAGGAGCGAAAGCCAGGGGAGCAAACGGG
This 254-nucleotide ribosomal RNA is filed under the name uncultured bacterium. RNAcentral describes it as "partial 16S ribosomal RNA". It matches the Rfam family "Bacterial small subunit ribosomal RNA", at positions 524 to 776 of the family's 1533-position model. The record is from RNAcentral.